GUAUUCCCGCUGCAGUCGGCCAAAUAGUGGUC
Molecule: non-coding RNA, 32 nt
Filed under: Geobacter sulfurreducens KN400
Lineage: Bacteria; Pseudomonadati; Thermodesulfobacteriota; Desulfuromonadia; Geobacterales; Geobacteraceae
Source: RNAcentral